Molecule: ribosomal RNA, 252 nt
Filed under: uncultured bacterium
Lineage: Bacteria
Description: partial 16S ribosomal RNA
Rfam family: Bacterial small subunit ribosomal RNA
Source: RNAcentral
ACGUACUGGGCGAACGUUAUUCGGAAUCACUGGGCUUAAAGGGUGCGUAGGCGGCCAGGCAAGUCAGGUGUGAAAUCUUCCGGCUCAACCGGAAAACUGCGCUUGAAACUGCUUGGCUUGAGUGAGAUAGGGGUGUGCGGAACUUCCGGUGGAGCGGUGAAAUGUGUUGAGAUCGGAAGGAACACCGGUGGCGAAAGCGGCACACUGGGUCUUCACUGACGCUGAGGCACGAAAGCUAGGGGAGCGAACAGG